AGCUGACUGAAAGCUGUGGUGUUCCUCCCGACAAGAAGCGAAUGGGCCCGCAUGGCAAAGCUCAAGGCCCAGGCCAGCUAGCAGGGCGAGUGGAAGAGAAGGUAGUGGUGGUGUCCGAAGCCAAGUUGAAACGGGAAAUUGACUUCUCCACAGGGGAUAGAAGAACUGGGGAGAGCGAGAGCGAGCACAGGCAGACAGAGUGGAAGGCAGAGUGAGAGGGAGAAGCAGACUCCCCGUGGAGCAAGGAGCCUGAUGUGGGACUCGAUCCCAGGACGCUGGGAUCAUGACCUGAGCCGAAGGCAGCUGCUUAACCAACUGAGCCACCCAGGCGUCC
Molecule: long non-coding RNA, 334 nt
Filed under: Mustela putorius furo (domestic ferret)
Lineage: Eukaryota; Metazoa; Chordata; Mammalia; Carnivora; Mustelidae
Description: lncRNA (ENSMPUG00000029596.1)
Source: RNAcentral